CCUACGGGAGGCAGCAGUGGGGAAUCUUGCGCAAUGGGCGAAAGCCUGACGCAGCAACGCCGCGUGCGGGAAGAAGGUCUUAGGGUUGUAAACCGCUUUCAGUAGGGAAGAAGCGCAAGUGACGGUACCUGCAGAAGAAGCACCGGCUAACUACGUGCCAGCAGCCGCGGUAAU
Molecule: ribosomal RNA, 174 nt
Filed under: uncultured bacterium
Lineage: Bacteria
Description: partial 16S ribosomal RNA
Rfam family: Bacterial small subunit ribosomal RNA
Source: RNAcentral